AAUAGAUACCCCGGUAGUCCACACCGUAAACGUUGGGCACUAGGUGUGGGGAGGAAUCAACCCUUUCCGUGCCGUAGCUAACGCAUUAAGUGCCCCGCCUGGGGAGUACGGCCGCAAGGCUAAAACUCAAAGGGAUUGACGGGGGCCCGCACAAGCGGCGGAGCAUGUUGCUUAAUUCGAGGCAACGCGAAGAACCUUACCUAGGUUGAACUACGCAGGAACAGCCACAGAGAUGUGGUGUCCUUCGGGGCCUGCGAUAGGUGGUGCAUGGCUGUCGUCAGCUCGUGUCGUGAGAUGUUGGGUUAAGUCCCGCAACGAGCGCAACCCUUAUCCCAUGUUGCCAGCACGUAAUGGUGGGGACUCGUGGGAGACCGCCGGGGUCAACUCGGAGGAAGGUGGGGACGACGUCAAGUCAUCAUGCCCCUUAUGUCUAGGGCUGCAAACAUGCUACAAUGGCUGGUACAAAGGGCUGCGAAACCGCGAGGUCGAGCGAAUUCCAAAAAGCCAGUCUCAGUUCGGAUUGAAGUCUGCAACUCGACUUCA
RNAcentral lists this ribosomal RNA (543 nucleotides) under uncultured bacterium. RNAcentral describes it as "bacterial SSU rRNA". It matches the Rfam family "Bacterial small subunit ribosomal RNA", at positions 777 to 1320 of the family's 1533-position model. The record is from RNAcentral.